CGCCAUAUUCUGCUUUCUGUCCAUGUGGCUCGAAAAACAUCCCCAGGUUUUAGUGACUCUCCAGACCUGGCCAUUGUGAAGAGGUGGUUGGAUUAUGUGAGGCUUGGUGUGCCUUCCUCAGAUGUCACUGAUCCAAGCAAAGGAACUCCUAUCAGUGCUAGAGGCACAUGAGUCCAAAAGGGGAUUUUGGGCUCUUCAGGGCAACAACUCCAGAAACCCCAAUGCUGGAUGCCUCAGGCAUGGCAGAGACCCUGCAUCUAGGACCAGCUUCUGUGGUGGGGCCACAGGGAGAUAUGAAGCUCCGAAAGGACACUGAGCUCAUGGACCCAGCAGUUAGGGAACCAACUGUGCCAGAAGAUGGACCAGUGCAGCUUCUGACUUUAGAUCAGCCUCUGCCCGCAUCAGCUGAUACACAGUCACCUCUAGAUGUGGCUGCAGAUGUUCCAGCUGCCAGGCAGGUAUUUCUACCUGCUGUUGUGCAAUUAGGUGCACCGGAGCCCAUUUCCCCUCUUCCUGAGGUUGACAUAUAAUUAGGUAGUAGAACCUGCUGAGUUCCACCCUGCUCCAGUU
This is a long non-coding RNA of Peromyscus leucopus (white-footed mouse), 570 nucleotides long. RefSeq lists it as uncharacterized. The transcript has 2 exons. The record is from RefSeq and is a predicted model, not a curated record. NCBI's taxonomy places the organism in Eukaryota, Metazoa, Chordata, Mammalia, Rodentia, Cricetidae.